Molecule: unclassified non-coding RNA, 210 nt
Filed under: Hevea brasiliensis (rubber tree)
Lineage: Eukaryota; Viridiplantae; Streptophyta; Magnoliopsida; Malpighiales; Euphorbiaceae
Source: RNAcentral
GUUGAUUUAAGUCAAAUUGAAUUUGAUUGUGUAUUGAGUUACUUGUGUCGAAUUGUGGGAUGAUAUUGAAUUUAAACAAAAUAUUGAAUUUACUGGAGUUGUGGAUAAAUAAAAUAUUAGAAGUAUUUUUCACAGGUUUUUAAAGAAUUAUUUCCAAACUAUAGACAACAUUCUGCCGAAUUUUCUGAAAAAUUUGCGAAGAGUUGAAAU